RNAcentral lists this ribosomal RNA (471 nucleotides) under uncultured bacterium. RNAcentral's name for it is "bacterial SSU rRNA". It matches the Rfam family "Bacterial small subunit ribosomal RNA", at positions 330 to 793 of the family's 1533-position model. The record is from RNAcentral.
UCCAGACUCCUACGGGAGGCAGCAGUGGGGAAUAUUGCACAAUGGGCGCAAGCCUGAUGCAGCCAUGCCGCGUGUAUGAAGAAGGCCUUCGGGUUGUAAAGUACUUUCAGUCGGGAGGAAGGUGGUAAGGUUAAUAACCUUAUCAAUUGACGUUACCGACAGAAGAAGCACCGGCUAACUCCGUGCCAGCAGCCGCGGUAAUACGGAGGGAGCAAGCGUUAAUCGGAAUUACUGGGCGUAAAGCGCACGCAGGCGGUCUGUCAAGUCGGAUGUGAAAUCCCCGGGCUCAACCUGGGAACUGCAUUCGAACCUGGCAGGCUGGAGUCUUGUAGAGGGGGGUAGAAUUCCAGGUGUAGCGGUGAAAUGCGUAGAGAUCUGGAGGAAUUCCGGUGGCGAAGGCGGCCCCCUGGACAAAGACUGACGCUCAGGUGCGAAACCGUGGUGAGCAAACAGGAUUAGAUACCCUGGUAU